AGCAGCCGCGGUAAUUCCAGCUCCAAUAGCGUAUAUUAAAGUUGUUGCAGUUAAAAAGCUCGUAGUUGAAUUUCGGGACCAAUAUGUCUGUCGUGCCUUCGGUACGUACGGGUAUAAUUGGUUCCUACCUCCUGAUGAACCUUGAUGCCAUUAAUUUGGUGUCUUGGGAACUCAGGACUGUUACCUUGAAAAAAUUAGAGUGUUUAAAGCAGGCAUGCGCUUGAAUACAUUAGCAUGGAAUAAUGAAAUAGGACGUUCGAUUCUAUUUUGUUGGUUUCUAGGAUCGACGUAAUGAUUAAUAGGGAUAGUUGGGGGCAUUAGUAUUCAAUUGUCAGAGGUGAAAUUCUUGGAUUUAUUGAAGACUAACUACUGCGAAAGCAUUUGCCAAGGAUGUUUUCAUUAAUCAAGAACGAAAGUUAGGGGAUCGAAGACGAUCAGAUACCGUCGUAGUCUUAACCAUAAACUAUGCCGACUAGGGAUCGGAUGAUGUUAAUUUUUAAUGACUCAUUCGGCGCCUUAA
Molecule: ribosomal RNA, 520 nt
Filed under: uncultured Glomus
Lineage: Eukaryota; Fungi; Glomeromycota; Glomeromycetes; Glomerales; Glomeraceae
Description: SSU rRNA
Rfam family: Eukaryotic small subunit ribosomal RNA
Source: RNAcentral